AUCAGCAUGCCGCGGUGAAUACGUUCCCGGGCCUUGUACACACCGCCCGUCACACCAUGGGAGCCGGUAAUACCCGAAGUCAGUAGUCCAACCACGUGAGGACGCUGCCGAAGGUAGGAUUGGCGACUGGGGUGAAGUCGUAACAAGGUAAC
Molecule: ribosomal RNA, 152 nt
Filed under: uncultured bacterium
Lineage: Bacteria
Description: partial 16S ribosomal RNA
Rfam family: Bacterial small subunit ribosomal RNA
Source: RNAcentral